AAUAAUACGAAUUACUUCUUGAUAUUGUAUUUACAAUAAUGUUUUUCUAAGAGAUUUAUGUUGGUCAAAUCCAAAUAAGAUAAUAACUAAGAGAUUGAUUCCUCUUGAACCCUAAUCUCUUUAGUUUUUGUUUUAUUUUUUCUCUUUAUCUCUCCUUCGUUACUCUUUCACGUCAUUCCAACAAUACCAUACAGAGCAUUAUGUUAAACAAAUCUAACUUUACCUCUGUUUUUCUCACAUUUUUCUUCUCUUCUUUUCUCACCUACAUAUUUUUCUUGUUAUACUUCCUUCCUUAAUAAAACACGUUUUCUUUAGUUGUCUUGUUCCCUCGUUCUCUCUCUGCU
Molecule: long non-coding RNA, 344 nt
Filed under: Vigna radiata
Lineage: Eukaryota; Viridiplantae; Streptophyta; Magnoliopsida; Fabales; Fabaceae
Description: long non-coding RNA (VRAD_LNC018328)
Source: RNAcentral